Quercus robur (English oak) is the source of this 739-nucleotide long non-coding RNA. RefSeq lists it as uncharacterized. The transcript has 3 exons. Lineage: Eukaryota; Viridiplantae; Streptophyta; Magnoliopsida; Fagales; Fagaceae. The record is from RefSeq and is a predicted model, not a curated record.
ACUACCCAAAAGACUGAAGUAGAGAAGGAUUGACUACACCUUUCAGGUGAAAUCUAAGGAUUUUUAGAGGAAGUGUUAGGGAAAAAAUCCUUUUGGAAUAGCUUUUGGAGGGUGCUUAAUUUAUAAGCGUGUGGCAGUUGUCACGUGCCUAUCUUUAUAAUUGGAUUCGGGGCGUGACAACAACUCUAGACAUAAAUUUCCAAGAUUGAAGCUCAAAAGCUCUCCUAUGCUUAACAAAGUAGCAACAGUGUACACGCCUACAUUAUUUGAUUUAUUUCAAACAGAAGUUGAAGAGGUAAUGACACUUUCCAUCCUAGAACGCACGCCUAUGUUAUUUGAUUUAUUUCAAACAGAAGUUGAAGAGAUAAUGACACUUUCCAUCCUAGAACGCAAUGUGAGUCAAACAUAUAGUUAUGUGGUUGGAGUUUUCAAUCAAUAUGGAAAAUAUGAAGUCAUGUGGAAUCCAUUAGAUGAGACUCUAUCUUGUAGUUGCAGAAAGCUUGAGUCAUUUGGUAUUUUAUGUAGGCAUGGUUUGAAAGUUCUUGAUGUAUUGAAUAUUAAGUUGAUUCCUAAUAGAUAUAUCAUGAAGAGGUGGAGAAGAGAUGCAAAAUAUGGAGGCGGAAAAAAUUGCACAACACAUAACAUUAAGCCGAAUACUCGACUGGAAUAUGUAGAUUCGCAUCGAGAUUUAUGUCCAAAAUAUAUUCAAUUGGUGAAUGAGGCAUGUGAAACUAAUGAA